Pollicipes pollicipes is the source of this 490-nucleotide long non-coding RNA. RefSeq lists it as uncharacterized. The transcript has 3 exons. Lineage: Eukaryota; Metazoa; Arthropoda; Thecostraca; Pollicipedomorpha; Pollicipedidae. The record is from RefSeq and is a predicted model, not a curated record.
CUUCGCUUCCUGAACCGUCUGACCGAGCUGGCAGCCAGCAAGAAGGAGCGGGUCCACCUGCAGGCCGAGAUCGAGGAGGCCGGCUUCGAUGUCAGCAUCAUCAGGAAGUUCCUGUCAUCCACCAACGAGAGUGCGGCGCUUCGGGAUGAGCUUGACAGAUGGCAGCAGCAGUACCUGGACGUGGAGGAGCUGUACGCGCAGCUGCUGGCGGAGCGGGCACACUCUGCCCGGCUCCGUGUCGAGAAGGACGCUCUCCACCAGGAGGUCAAGAAGCACAUCAGCUGCAUCCAAACUCUCCGCCACAAGGAGAGCAUCCAGAACUCCCGGCUCGAGCAGCUGGAGGCGCAGGUUGGCGCCCCACCAGGCCGCGUCAGCCGUACCAGCCGCACUAGCCGCGCCAGCCGCGAGAGCCUGCCGAUUGUCGUGGCAGAGCCGCCUGUCGGCGGCCGUGCGUAUUCGAGCUUCUCGCCGCCGCCGGCGGGCGGCGCUA